Molecule: small nuclear RNA, 94 nt
Filed under: Myotis brandtii (Brandt's bat)
Lineage: Eukaryota; Metazoa; Chordata; Mammalia; Chiroptera; Vespertilionidae
Source: RNAcentral
GUGCUCACUUUGGCAGCACAUAUAUUAAAAUUGGAACAAUACAGAGAAGAUUAGUUUGGCCCUUGUGCAAAUUCAUGAAACAUUCCAUAUUUUU